Non-coding RNA from Vicugna pacos (alpaca), 441 nucleotides. Lineage: Eukaryota; Metazoa; Chordata; Mammalia; Artiodactyla; Camelidae. The record is from RefSeq and is a predicted model, not a curated record.
UUUGUGCUACUGUUUUUCUACCAUUACUAGUAUUUUUCAUUAAUGCUACUACUAUUAUCUAAAUUUAGAAACAUGACUUAUAUUUACAGAUUGCUUUCACUUAUAUGAUCCUUAUUUAAAAUUUAAUUUUGUUUUGAUAGUAACACUUAAUAUAAGAUGUACUUUCUCAACAAAUUUUUGUGUAUAUCUGGUGGUGUUGGCUAUGUAUAUGUGUGUAUAAUGUACAGCAGAUCUCUAGAACUUACUCAUCUUGGUUGACUGAAAUUUUAUGCUCACUGAUUUAUAAUUCCCCAUUUGCCCUCCACCAGCCCUGGCAACCAUAAUUCCACUUUUUGAUUCUAUGCAUCUGCUAUAUUGGAUACCUCACAGAAGUGGAAUCAUGAAGUAUUUAUCUUUCUAGGACUGGUUUAUUUCACUUAGCAUAAUAGCCUUAAUGUUCAC